Molecule: long non-coding RNA, 8103 nt
Filed under: Lactuca sativa (garden lettuce)
Lineage: Eukaryota; Viridiplantae; Streptophyta; Magnoliopsida; Asterales; Asteraceae
Description: long non-coding RNA (LSAT_LNC005145)
Source: RNAcentral
GUUGUGGACUUAGAGUAGAGUCAUUUAUUCGAAGGUCUAUUCUAUCUCAGAUUAUGUAUAACUGGUAUGCACUAUGUGAUUAUAGACGUGACUGAUAAGUAUCACCCCCUGUAAGUAAUUAUAGGGUUAGACAUCUAUUAAUUAUCUCUUCUACCCCUAUUCUCGCACCAGCAACGUGACGGGAGCUCAACUACCAAGAGACCGUAUUCUUCGUAACCAAGAAAAUGGUGGUUGGAUCAGAGAGAAUCUCGAAGAGGAUCCUAAUGAAAUGAUAAAGGAAGACCCCGACGAGACUUCCAUGGUCCGACACCUUGAUGAGUCGUAGAUUUACAGAGACAGAGUUAGGAACAAGUUCAACACCCUUCGUAUGGCAUGGAUGGGGUUCCUAUGACCUCAGUAGAGGAGGAUUUGUAGACAGGGCUCUCCUUGUCAUGGUACGCCGCAUCACUCACAAGAGGGUGCAAACACAAGCAUCGGUCAGCCAAAUCGUGGAGGUUGGAGCUACCACCAAGAUCACUGCAACUCGCCUAGGUCGCUUGGAUGGAGGCCAUGAAAAGAUCAUAAACCACAUCAAAACCUUCAGAAGGAAGUGACCGCAACUCGAGCUGAGAUUAGAGAGUACCCGGAACGUCAAACAGCGUUAGAGAAAGAGCAUGAUCACAGCAGAACAUCAAAUGACAGAAGCCAAGGUAGGAGUUAGGUCGAUGCAGAUUUUCAUGCCUUCAUUCUAUGGCCCACGAAACAUCACCCACCGCGAGUAGUGUUGUAAACUACUGAUGAAUCGAUAAAGAAUCAAACUACUAGAAUACGUUUAAACACCAUACCUCACAUGCAUGAAUUCGACCCUUCAAAUUUAGAGACUACGCCAUUCAAGAGGGUCGUGUCAGUGUCGAAAUUUUUCCAUACCAUAAUGUAACGUGGACCUUCUAUAAGGUCAAACUUUCCAGAACUUUAUGUACUAGACUAUGUAAAUGGAAUUAGCAUACAUUUUAUUUCUUUGGGAGUUUACCAAAUAUGUCAUAACCUGGUAUUACAGAUGAUUCGCUUAUGGUUCCUUUAAGAUUGCUUAAUGUAUACCACAAGGUUAGGUAUAAUUAAGAGACGAUCGACUUAGAAAUGGUGAGUCCGCCUUGGGUCCUGUUCGUUGUUUGGUCGUGGGCCUAGGGCAGACUCAUUAAGUUCAACGGCCUAUUGGACCUUAAUUAUACACAACAGGUAUACAUCAGGUGAUCUUAGGAGUGGAUCAGGCAUGGAACAAAUUUCAAGAUUUCAUUCGAGUCAUUACUACUAAAUUCACAAGUUNUCACAUAACUCUAUUUAAGUUUUAAAAGGUCAUCAAACGUUUGGCUUCGUGCUCAUUUAGUCACUUAACUUUUGUUUUGGUCACAUUUAGUCACCAAACUUUUAAAAUUGUAUUCAUUUAGUCACUAAACUUUUAAAUUUUUUUUAAAUUUUAAUGACUAAAUGAGCACAAUUUUAGAAGUUAGGUGACUAAAUGAACACAAAUCUAAAAGUUGGGUGACUAGAUGUGACCAAAUCAAAAGUUAUGUGACUAAAUGAGUACAAAAUCAAAUGUAUGAUGACCUUUUAAAACUUAAAAAUAGUUAACUGACCAAAUGAGAAAAAAAAAACCAAAAGUUAUGUGACCAAAAAUGACCUAAACCCUAAAAACUAAUAACCUAGUUUUACGACGCCCGACUAAUUACCAUUACUAAAAGACUUAUACCCACUUCGUCUUUGAAAUUCUAUAACAGAAAGAUGCCGCCUCGUAGGUUGGCUAGACGCACUGGCGGAACACAAACAAAUCCGGCACCGCUGCCUCCCCAAUAUGAUCCUGUCAUGUUCCAAGUUGCGGUCACAGCCGCGGUGGCAGCUGCUAUGUCCCAAAUCAGCACUGAAGGUACCAGAAGGACAGGGAGUGGUAUUAAUAACUCCACUCAAGGAGAAAGCCAAGGGCGCUCAAGAGAGUGUUCCUUUAAGGACUUCACCAAUGGUAAACCCGAUUCUUUCAAUGGAAGCGGGAUAGUCAUCACACUGAUGCAAUGGUUCGAGAAGACCAAAUCGGUCUUCAAAAUUUGUGCAUGCCCAGAAGCAAGCAAGGUCAAAUUUGCAGCUUGCACUUUCUUUGGCCGAGCCCUUACUUGGUGGAACAACCACGUUAAGUCACUGAUGCGUGCGGUGGCUAACUCGUUAAGCUAGGAAGACUUAAAGAUGAUGAUGCUGAAAGAGUACUGCCCAAGGGGCGAAGUGCAAAAACUAGAACAAGAAAUAUGGAAUCUCAAAAUGACCGGCUCUGACCUUGCAACUUACACCGACCAAUUCUGUGAUCUAGCACUCCUUUGUCCCGCGAUGGUCACUCCUGAGGAAAAGAAGGUGGAACGAUACCUCUGGGGAUUGUCUCCCCAAAUUCAAAAUAGUGUGUUGGCCUAAAGACCAGCUACCUUUGAUAGUGCCAAGGAGUUGGCACAAUAACUCAUCGACCAUAGGUCCAUCCGUGACACUGUAACAACCACUCCUGAGCAAGACAGAGGGAUAAGCAACAAAAGGAAGUUCUGGAACAACAAGAAGGACCAACCAGCCCAAGACUCCACCAAAAAGCAACAGAACGUUGUUGUUCAUGCUGGCACAAUUCCUGCCACUCCAGCACCCAUAAAUCGAUACGCUGGAACCCUUCCGAAAUGCAACAAGUGUAACUUCCAUCAUACUGGGGUUUGUUGGGAGAUGCAUUGCAAGAAUUGCAACAGGAAGGGGCACAUUAUCCGUUUCUGUAGAGCACCGACACAACCCAUCAAUCAGGUCCCCGACAUUCGAGCCAGCCCAACUUGUUACGAGUGCGGUGAAGCAGGACACUUUAAGAGGGACUGUCCAAAGACAAGGAAUACUGGUGACGGUGGAAAGGUGCUUAUGAUCACUGCAGGAGAAACUCCCCCGAAACCACCCGUGAAUAGCGGUACGUGCUUCUAACUGCCACAUGUAGGUUUUAAAUCCUUGCUGAGACUAGUGUCGACUUAGGGUUUAUCAACCAUAGAUCUAGAGAACAUGACAAAUCCAAGUAAGUCUUAUCACAUAUAUAAAAACACAGGGUUUUUACUAGCGAAUCUAUGAUGGACAGUGUAAACAUUAUGGUCGUAUAUCAUUUAGAUUCUAAGGACUUAGAAUGUAUAAUUCCGCCUUAUUUCAUGUUCCUUGUUUGGUUAUGGGCUUAAGAUGGGUUCACCCAUCUGAAUGCCCUUGCAAUCUUAAUGAUAUACGAUUAUUUUACACCAAGCGAUUAUAAAAGAGUUGGUAGGACUUAUAAUGCAAAUUUUGUCACAAUUUGUUGAAGCAUCCGUAGUACUAGAACUCACUAACUACGUUAUAAAAUAUUCAUAGUGGUAAUACCAAGUAUAAAGCGGAGAGCAUAAAGGCACACAUAGAAUACUCUAUCAUUCCAAAACAACAAACUACUUUUAAAUCGACUCAACUUAUGUUACAGUAAGAAAUUCCAAGGUCGUCAUUUAACAUCAGGCGGAUUGGUCCCCACCAUAUCAAUUUCUUAUGCUACGAAAAGUUUCCCCCAUCUUUCCUCCAAAUUCUUGAAGUCCCAGUUGAAACACUAAUUUCGGGACGAAAUUCUUUCUAACAGGGGGAUGAUGUGACAACCGUCAACUUUUGGCCAAGUCAAAGUCAAUUAAAGUCAACAAGUCAAACCGGUCAACUCAUCUAACCCUUUUAUAUUAGGGUUUCCAUUAUGAUUCUUAUUGUACUUCUCACAAUCUUAAUAUAAAGUAUCACUUAGAGUUUUCACGUGUUCGGAAAUUCUAAACCCAAAUCAAGGUAAAUGAUGAAUCUACUCGAUAAAACAGUGUUCCAUACCUGUAGAGAGCGUAUAACAUUCAUAACAAGGCUCAACAGAGUGUACGAACCUUGUCUCGCGAAGCCAAACACUCAAAAAGGUCACAAAAGAAAUCUCUCUCAAAUCUCUCCAAGUAUGAGAAAUCUCUCCCAAAUCUCUCUCUGAAUGAGAAAUAUCUCCAAGUAUGUGAAACCUCUCCCAAAUCUCUCUCUGAAUGAGAAAUAUCUCCCAAAUCUCUCAUUGAAUAAGAAAUCUCUCCAAGUAUGUGAAAUCUCUCCCAAAUCUCUCUCUGAAUGAGAAAUCUCUCCUAGUAUGUGAAAUCUCUCCCAAAUCUCUUUCAAAUCUCUCUCAGAAGUUCCAUUAACUUUUUAUAGUCUUUCGGGUCAUCCCGACCCUUAACCAGGUCAAAAACCGCUUGAAACUGGAAGAUUUCUUGAAAAAUAACCUUAAAGAACCGAAACCUUCUCUUAUAGGGCGAAGCCUCUCGGACCGAAACCAUGAAGGACGGAACCGAAGCCUGCUGACCUGAACCCGAACACUUCUGAACCGAACCCGAACCUCGCCUUCGCGCCUGACCUUUGCCUUCGGUCCUAGUCUUUUAAGGACCAAACCUGACCACCCCCCCCCCCCCCAAUGCGAGAAGCCUCGCAGAAAGGCCAUUUCUUCCCGAUUUUUGACUACAACUUCGUUUUAGGCCCGAUUUUCAUCAUUUUAACGUGGGAUUUUCACCCAAAACUUUAUUUUAACAUUUAAAGCCUCAAAUUUCAUUAAUCCCCACGUUUUUAGUGCCAAUCAUAUCCAAGAUUUAGUGGUUGAAGUACAAGGGGGUGGAGUGUUGACCUUCCUUUGAUUUAAGACACAAGCAACCACCCAUACCCACUCUAUGACCAACCCACACCCUCCCUACCAUACCUAGUCACUUCCUUGUACUUUUCCAUCAAUCUCCAGUCAUUCCCACGUCCUAAGAGCUGGAAAACUCACCCUCUCUCCUCAUUCUCACUCAUUUCUCUUAUUUCCACCCAAAGAGCAAACACUUUUCUCUCAACUUCUCUCUUUCAAUUCUGAGAUUUCCAAGGCUUCUUCCAAGAUUUUCUUCUACUUUUGGUAAGUAUUAUCAUCCUCCAUAUGAUUAUUUCACUCCUUUUCUACUCAAAUCAUUGAUUUCUUACACAAACUCCUUCAUAUUUGUGUUAGAUCUUCGAAUCUUCAAGCAACCUUCCAAGUGUUCUUGAGUUGAACACUUCCCAUCUUCAACAUACAUACACUAAAAUCACUCGAGGUGAGUUCAUACCCCUAUAUUUUCAUGUUUUUCUUAAGUUUUAAGGGGGGAAUACAAGUUAAAACACCAAGAACACAACUAAACUCAAACAACAGUUUUCAUCAGAAAAGUUGAGUCUUAUUCACGGACUGUUUUGACUAUCUUAAACUUAAUAUCUUUCAAAACUGUAUUAGAUGCAAAUAUUUCAGGCUCAUCCCUUGAAAAUGACUUCUUGCACAUCUGCAUACGAUUUUUCUAUAAUUUAUGGUGAUUUUUACAAAACUGCUUAUCAUUUCAUAAACGAAUUCUACCAAUCUGUGAAUAUGAACAUUUUAACACAAGUUAAAGACUUCCAAAAAUCAUAAUAAAAAUUAUGAAUAAAGUAGAUACAUUUUAUGAACUCUUAGAAUUUACGGAUUCAGAUUUCGACUUCGUAAGAUUUUUGUGUGAUUUUUCUAAAUUAGUGCAGAAUGGUUAAAAACUAGUUAACAAUUUGUAUUAUGUUGAGCAAAGUGUAUAACUAUAAGUUCUAAAUAUUGAAGGUAUUUUCUUGUUAGUUUGUCAUCAUAAACUGAAAUUUAGUCAUUCACGAUAGGUAUUCUUCAUUCAUUCGAACACAUAUAAUAAGCUAUAAUAAGCAUAGUUUAUGGAUUUUUACUACAUGAGAAAGGUUUUACUCUCAAAACAAAUGGGUUUUUCAUAUACUACAUAGUAGUAAUAGUUUAUGGACUCAUAGAAUUAAUGUAUUUUCAUAAAAGGGGUUAUUUUAAAUUAGAAACAUUUUGGAUUAACUAUAAUAGGUAUAGUUUAUGUAUCAUUUACAUUUCAAACUUAUUUGCCAAAGGUUUUCAGUUCAAUUCACGUAAAUCUGUUAAUGAAUAAAUUUGUGAGACAUUCGCUUGGUGUUACCUUCAUGGUAACAGAGUCAAAAGUCCUAUAAAUUGUAACCAGAGUCUCUUGUAGGGAGAGCGUGAUAGUUGUGUAUAAAUCUAUAUUGGGUCUGACAAGCCCGCACCUGAGCUGCUUCCAACAGCUAGAUCGGCAGGUCUGAGUUGACAAGUGUCAUUUAACGUGCGACGUCAGAAGAACGUCAUAUUACGAGGCCGUCUGAGUAUUAGCAUGGUUAUAAUAGCUCACUUGUGGUACUAACAACUCAUAACAUUUACAGGUUCUACUUUCAAAUUAGCGAGUCAUGUCGAUUUAACUCACAUAAAUUACUUUAAGUAUGGAAAAAUACUUGUACACUUUUAUAUCAAAAAGGAUUUUAUGCUGAUUUAAAAUCACUUUUAUAUCUUUAAGUAUGGAAAAAUACUUGUUUAUAUUUGGUCCUGGGAUUUAGGACUACCUAACUCUUAUAAGGAAAAUAUUGGAUUUUCUUUGGAAACAUAUUUCUGUUAAAACUACAAUCAUCUAGAAUUGUUAGGCCUCGACUAUAAUUGCUAAGUGUAUAUGUUAUAGUUAUAUAAGAAUCUAUUCAAAAUCGAGUUAGAAUUGGUGGGCCCGCCUUUCUUCGUGUUCCUUGUUUGGUUGUGGACCUACGGAAGACCCAUUAUAUUCGACGGUUUAUUUAAUUUACAUUUAAUAUAACUUAUAUACACUGGGUGAUUGUAGAAGGAAUCUACGGGUCUUUCUAGGGUUCAUUAUCGCAUAACAUAGAAGCAUUCAUUUCACACUUAACAAAGAAAAUAUUGGGUUUUUUGGAAACUUACUUUGUCGCUUUUACAAAGAAAACAAUUUCUUUCUCAAAAAAAACUCUUAUGAACUCACCAACUUAAUUGUUGACCCUUUUCAAAAGUACUUGUAUUCUCAGGAAAUCAGUGAAACAGGAAAACAACAGCAUUUUGAGGAUGGGACGUUAAAUCGUCAAACAGUUCAUUUUGUCAUCAUAAUGUAGUUGAUUUUGAAACAUGUAAACUUACUAUGCUGUAACUUUUUCAAUUAUAUUUAUGAUGGUUGUAUUUACUUUGAGCACCAUUAUAUACUCGUUGUUGUGAUACUAUACAUGAAGUCCUCCACCCCCGGACGUUUCUGCCAUCCUUGGUUUGGGGGUGUGACAGAUUGGUAUCAGAGCAUUGUUUAUAGUGAACUAAGUAUAUCGAACCGCAUAAGAUAUACAAACUAUAAAUGCAUUGGACUAAGGUCUUUGAUUUAACAUUUUCAAAUAACUAUACUUUUAGAAAUAAAUAGUUUCUUGUUAAAGUAUACAUGCAUGCAUACAUACUAAGGUCAACAUCAUUCUAGAAGAAAACAAAAGUAAUGAUUGUUGAAUAGCACAAGUAGGCUUGGGGAUGUAUAGUCAGGUCUGGGAAUGACAUAGCCUGAUCAACUAUGUCUAACCCAGAAGUGAUUAGCAUGUGCCCGGGAAUGGUUGUGGCAUUGCAACAAGUCUAAAAACUUACCAAUUCUAUUUACAAUCAAACGCUGAAAACAUAAGGCAAACAUUAAAAAUACUAUAGGAGUAUUUGGUGAUACUAUAACCAACUUAUGUGAAAACUAAAGACCCCUAUUAGUAGGUCUAUAACGAUUGAGUGCAUAUGCUAAGGUUAUACAUAAUUGAGGAUAUUAUAGACUCAGAAUCUAUGACUAUUGCUCUAGUUCUUGUUCCUUGUUUGGUCGUGGACUUAGAGUAGAGUCAUUUAUUCGAAGGUCUAUUCUAUCUCAGAUUAUGUAUAACUGGUAUGCAAUAUGUGAUUAUAGACGUGACUGAUAAGGAUCACCCCUUAUAAGUAAUUAUAGGAUUAGACAUCUAUUAAUUAUCUCUUCUACCCCUAUUCUCGCACCAGCAACGUGACGGGAGCUCAACUACCAAGAGACCAUAUUCUUCGUAACCAAGAAAAUGGUGGUUGGAUCAGAGAGAAUCUCGAAGAGGAUCCUGAAGAAAUAAUAAAGGAAGACCCCGACGAGACUUCCAUGGUCCGACACCUUGAUGAGUCGUAGAUUUACAGAGACAGAGUUAGGAACAAGUUCAACACCCUUCGUAUGGCAUGGAUGGGGCUCCUACGACCUCAAU